This 336-nucleotide long non-coding RNA is filed under the name Carica papaya (papaya). RNAcentral describes it as "long non-coding RNA (CPAP_LNC015913)". The record is from RNAcentral. Lineage: Eukaryota; Viridiplantae; Streptophyta; Magnoliopsida; Brassicales; Caricaceae.
CUAUGGUGGUGUCGGAUGGUACUGUGGAGGAGCAGGGUCGUACUGGGUUGACUCAGGAUCCUCCCGCUGCAGGGGUGGCUCAAACUGUGACAGCGGGAGGGUCAGGUAGCUCCCUCAUUUCCUUCCGAGCCUGUUGGGUAGUGAUAAGUCUCUCUAGUAUUUCAAAUAGUCGGUCAACAUCCUCUCGAAGUGAACCCUUCUAGGCUUGGUUUAAUGGGGGUCUACCUCUCUUCGUCUAUCUGUACUUAUAUUUUACAAGGAAUGGUUGAGUGAUAAUUUAUUAUUUUUGGUAUUUCAUAAGAUUUUUGUGUAAGGAAUGGUUCAGAGGAAUGCAGC